This is a long non-coding RNA of Zingiber officinale, 1062 nucleotides long. RefSeq lists it as uncharacterized. The record is from RefSeq and is a predicted model, not a curated record. NCBI's taxonomy places the organism in Eukaryota, Viridiplantae, Streptophyta, Magnoliopsida, Zingiberales, Zingiberaceae. The transcript is spliced from 2 exons.
AAGUAGGGUUAUUGGCGUAAACCCUAAUCGCGCCGCCAGGCCCUCUCCGGCUCCACUCUCCCGUCCGUCCGCCACUGUUCCGCCGACGGUGCUGUUUUCCGCUCCUGCUCCCUCGCUCCCAUGGCGAACGACCACCUUUAAAAAAGCGUAUUGUCUACCUUUGAGGUGAUAUCACCGACGCCACCUCUUCAUUGACCAGCUUAGAGGAUCCUUGAUCAGCAACGAGUGUCAAAUGCCGGGUAUUAGUCUAAAUUUUUUGGCCUCAUUAGGGGUAUAUAUAUAUGUAACGCUCCAUAUAUUACUUGAUUUGAUCUAUAUGCUGCCCCGUGUGGUGGUUUUAGAUUCCAUUAAUGCGCUCACGUAGUUUGUGAAGCACUCUCAUGUCCAGAUCUUCGGCCGAGUCGGAGGCGGAUGUUAGGCGUGGUUGCAUUUUCUUCCAUUUCUAUGGAAUAAUCCAUCAAUCACACAUAACAUCCGCCUCCGACUAGGCUGAAGAUCUGGACAUUAGUGUCAAGCUGCUUCACAAACUCCAUGAGCACAUCAAUGGGAUCUAUAGCCACCACACGGACAGCAUAUCGAUCAAAUCAAAUAGUAUAUAGAGCGUGACAUGUAUAUGCCUCUUAAUGAGUCAAAGAAAUUUGGACUAGUACCCGGCAUUGCUGAUCAAGGUUCCUCUAACGACGGAGCUAAAAGCGGGGAUGGUUUUGUUCUUAAUGAUCGUGGAUCGUGGUGCGCCUGUUGGAAGUUUCAGACUAAGAGGUGGUGUCUUGAAACUUAAAGAAAAUAAGUUUGUUAAUGACAAAAGAGGAGCUGGCGUCGGUGAUAUUACCACAAAGAUAGAGAAUAUGCUUCUUUAGGAGGUUGUCGUUCAUCAUGGGACGAGGUUGCAAGAGCGGAAAGCAGCACCAUUAGUGAAUCGGGAUAGUGGUGGACCGGAGAGUGGACUCAGGCGGCUUCGAGAUAUUGAUUAAGUUUUAUGCGCAGAGGCUCCUCUUUUAUUAGGAACAAUGUUAUGAAAUCUAGGGCUUUUAUAUGAUAAAUUUUUUAUAGUUUAUUAUUGAA